Molecule: transfer RNA, 84 nt
Filed under: Luteimonas padinae
Lineage: Bacteria; Pseudomonadati; Pseudomonadota; Gammaproteobacteria; Lysobacterales; Lysobacteraceae
Description: tRNA-Ala
Source: RNAcentral
GCGCUCGGUGCGCAGGGUUUCGAUGUAGCGCAGCUGGCGCUCGCGCAGGGCGUCGGGCUUCGGCGCGGUGCCGGGCGCGUCCUC